ACCUGGCUAGCUCAGUUGGUGGAGCUUGUGACUCUUGAUCUCAGGGUCAUGGGUUCAAGCCCCAUGUUGGGUG
This is a non-coding RNA of Nyctereutes procyonoides (raccoon dog), 73 nucleotides long. Lineage: Eukaryota; Metazoa; Chordata; Mammalia; Carnivora; Canidae. The record is from the annotation of a RefSeq genome assembly.